This is a long non-coding RNA of Lynx canadensis (Canada lynx), 2707 nucleotides long. RefSeq lists it as uncharacterized. The transcript is spliced from 3 exons. NCBI's taxonomy places the organism in Eukaryota, Metazoa, Chordata, Mammalia, Carnivora, Felidae. The record is from RefSeq and is a predicted model, not a curated record.
CUAUGACUCUUUGCCGUGUUCGAGGAAGUUCUCUUUUCUGUUCACGGGGAAACAAUGAAAAGAGAAGUGUAAAAGAUGGGAAUUCCAAUACAGCCUGAAUUUGCAUGCUACCUUCAAGAAUAGCUGCUCAUGGUGGUCAGGUGGGAGGAAGUGGCCAUGAGACUUGGACAACAGGGGUUCACCCAUUCCUUUCUUGCUUUACUCUGCUCACCAGCAACUUCCUCUGCUUUUGCCUGUGCUGAAAUGCAUAUGCAAUCGCGGAAACUCUCCAGAUCGCUACUCUCCAGGGCCGACAAACGCAACUUUGGUCUAUAGAAGAAAAAGGAAACUUUUCUACAAAGGCUGGCAUCUCUGUGCAGAAGAGAGAUUUCACUUCCCCCAGAAAGAGCGUUCCAGCCUGGUUCCAUAACAUAUUUGGUUACCUGACUGGGAAAUCCAACUGCGCUGGCCCAUUGUUGACACUGGUUUGGAAGAAUGGCGAGGCAGUGACAGAGUGAGGAAUCUCAAAGGAGAAGGCAUGCCCUGCCUGAAUUUCAGCAGUCUCCUAUUCGUCUCCUCGGGUUAGCCCUGCUGCAUCGUUCAUGCUGGACUCAAAGAGACCUGGUAGGUGAAGACCUGGACCUGACAUCAGAACUGCCCUUAAAGUUUCCGGUAUCACCCCAUGGGUCCAUCAUUCCAGAGUUAAGAAGGCCAACUCAGAAGAACCCACAACCUGGCAAAGUGAUCCAGAUCCAGCCAACCCACUUAAACUGACCCUCAAAAGGGACACUGGCCCCUGAGACCUCCAGCCCUGCUCCAGCCACACCCCAGAAGCUGGCUGGCCUGCGCAUGGCAGAUGCUUAAGGAAUUAAUGCGUGAACCAAGCCCAGGGGUUUGGAUGCAACUCUGCCAGACCUUGCCCCUUACUGAUGUCAUAGCCCUGAUCUUACUUCUUACUGUUGGGCUGAUAGAGACUGCACCAACGAGCUGGAUGUGGGACAAAAGAUGCAUGCUGGGUCUCACAUGCCUCUUCUGGAUGAGAGGAUUAUUAAGUAUUGCCUGCAUAUUAUGAUAACCUCUCUCACCCUCACAACUGCUGCUUACCUGCUUUUCUCCCAGGAUUGUUAUAUUACAAAACGGGGGUCAAGGGCAUUCAGCACCUUCACCUCCCUCCACAAAGAUUGCUACAAGGGAAAAACACCCACUGUCUGUCAGUCACCUGGUGCCCCGAGGACUAAGUAUUGGACCAUAGAGAUAACCCAAAAUGUCAGGAACCCAUGUCACAACAAGGCCUCCAGAAAGGGAAGUGAGCUUGCUACACUUACCUUCCUCAAUGGGGGAUCUUGGAUGGGGAAGGAAUGCAAGAUAGUGCUCUUCAAAAAGUUAUAAAGGAUACCCAGGAUAGGGUAAUAUAAGCCAUAAAGGCGACCACUCCCCUGGCAGCCUACCAGGGUUUGAAACUUUCAGCCCUUAAUCAGAUGCUUACCAAUUCCCCACUCCAGCAUUGGGCCAAAACUACUCUACAAGUCUUCCAUAAAACAGAUAAUCAUGCCCAAACCUGCUGGAUGUGCUUGCCCUUCAGUUGGAGGGCUUACUUAGCCACUCCCAUCCUCCCUUUGACCUGAGAAGCUCCUGAAAAUCUCAAAACCAACACUUCUGUCUUAAUUGGACCCUUGGCCACUGGGGUCUGUCUCACAAAUGCCAACAAUCUAAUCUGUACAGUCCUUGAAGGUAUGAACGGUACCUCUCUAUGUGGAAGAAAUAGAACCUUAAAGAGGAAUGCAACCCUGUGUUCAACCCCUGGGGUGUUCUAUCUGUGUUCUAAUUUGGCCUACCAAUGCUUAGAGGCCAACUGGACUCAGAUAUGUUAUUCCAUUUUCCUAACCCCAGAGGUAUCCGUAUACACUGAAGAUCAGUUCCUAACAGCCUUUAGCCCCAAAUCCCAGGCUAAACAGGCAAUCCUGCUGCCUGUUCUGAUAGGAGCAGGAAUUGUGACAGGAAUAGGAACCGGAUUAGGGGGCAUAGGUUCAUCCAUAGGACUAAACAAUAGACUAUCUCAAGAGCUACAUGAAGACAUGGAACGAGUGGCAGAUUCUCUGGUAACCUUACAAAGCCAAAUAAACUAUCUGGCGGCAGUGACCCUCCAAAAUAGGCAAGCCCUCGACCUCCUCACUUCAGAAAAAGGAGGGACUUGCAUCUUUCUAGGGAGAGAAAUGUUGCUGUUUUGUAAUAGUUACAACUAAGGUUAAGGAACUCAAGGAAAGAAUUCAAUGUAGACAACAGGAAAGUAUCAGUCAAUGGAAUGGAUGGGAUCUCAUGGAUUGGGCAUCCUGGCUUCCUGCCCUGGUGGGGUCCCUUCUCUCCAUAAUUUUACUUGUAUCCAUCAGCCCCUGAAUGCCAUGGUAUGUUUUAUUGAAAACACUGUUGCUCGUCAAACUACUGCAUGUAUCUUACCCUUCUGAGAGUACCAACCUGUAAAACUAAAAGGUGAUGCCUACUAAAAGUUUUUUUUUAAAGGAAUCAAAGGGGGGAAUGUUGGAGAAAUGAAUAAAGUACAACCAAGAUGGCCAAUGGGACUAAAACAAGCUCUGAUCUCUAGCUUAGAGACCCCUCUUCUGGGUUCUUCUUGCUCCGUUUGCCGCGCACACGAAAACCCGCCACAGAUAUAGAAGCUGACAACUAUAAAUUACCCUUCCCACUUGCAUUCAGUGCUCAGAUCUUUGGAGAA